GACAGGAAGUGAAUGAGAAACACACAUGAGCGAUGAGUGGAGGGGAACCCGAGGACCCGUCUGAAAGCCUAUGUCUGCACCAGUUCCUGGUCAUCCACGACCACUCCAUCCCCUACGUCAGACUCACAGCCUAGAGAAACAAUACUUCAGUGCGGGACCAGGGCGGUGCAAGCAUUGGGAUUAAGAAACACUGUAUAGGUCGGGCUGGAGGGAUGGCUCAGUAGGUAAAGGCGCUUGCCACCAAGCUUAACAACCUGAGUUCAAUCCCCAGGAUCCACAUGGUGGAAAGAGAGAACCGACUGCCAUACCUUGUCAUUUGGUCUCCAUGUGUGUGCUGUGGUAUGAUCACACCCACACUCAUACACACACAAAUAAAAAUAUUUGUGUGUUCGUGUGUGUGUGUGUGUGUGUGGACACAGACACAAAUAUGUGUAUACACACAAACACACACAUGCAUAUGCCAUAUCUACGACCAUAUGCUCACACUGUUCUGGCAGUUUUGCAGUGGCCAGUAACUAUAAGAAGCAGCAUGCACGAAAACACACACACACACACACACACACACACACCCCUAUACAAAUUUGUGCCCAUAAACACCUGCCGUGAACGCCCAGGGAAAAACCCUAGAGCUGUCAAUCAUGUCUCUCUCCAGUCUUCCCUAGUCCAACAAGAAUUAUCUCUUAAGCCUAUUUCUGCAGGGGGAGGUAGUUGCACAGAGACUCGCUCAUGGUCAAAAGUGCUAAGGAUAAGUGACUCAGCCUCAGAUGGGAUGUGUUUAUCACACCCUCCAGGUUCAGGGAACACGGUGUGGGGUGUUAAGAUUGUAAGAGCUGAAGGAAGGGGUACAGCGCUGUGAAAUGUUGCGGUUGUGGAGCAUUUUCUAAAUUAUUGCUGCUUAAUGUGAGAGGGUCCAGCUCACUGUGGGUGGUGCCACCCUUGGGCAUAGUUGCUGUAAGAAAGCAGGCUGAGAGCCGGGUGGUGGUGGCAGCUCAUGCCUUUAAUCCCAGCACUCGGGAGGCAGAGGCAGGUGGGUCUCUGUGAGUUCGAGGCCAGCCUGAUCUACAGAGCGAGUUCUAGGCCAAGCCAAGGAGCAAGCCUGUAAGCAACUUUCGUCUACGGUUUCUGUUUCGGUUCUUGCCUCCGGGUUCCUGCCCUGCGCGAGUUCCUGGCUUCCCCCAACGAUGGACUGUGAUCAAGAUUUAGAAGCCACAAGAAUCCUUUCUUCCCCAAGUUGCUUUUGGUUCAUGGUGUUUUAUCACAGCAGUGAAAGUUAAUAUGAGAAAGAGAGUUAUUGUCCUUAGUGGUGUCGCCACUGUGACCCAGGAGUCAUGUUUUCUUCCCUCUUUUUAUGGCCACAGCCAGAGACCGUCACCUCACACACUGGACACAGAGAACCUCUUCCUACCACAGGCAACGCCUGGUGCAGAAGGAAGCUCUCAGGUUCCUUUGGCUGCCCAGGACCUGGAAAGAUGCUGCAAUGGAGGUGGCUGCUGAAAUAGACCAGGCAUGUAGAAAUCAGAGGACAAGUUGCAGGUCGGUUCUCUUCUCCUACCAUUUAGGUCCCAUGGAUAACACUCAAAUCUUCAGGCUCGGUGGCCAUGUAUCCCACCACGCACUGGGUAUAAAGUCUGACGGAGAUGAUGAGGACAACGAAGUAUGUGCGACAUCCGUGUCUCGCGCACCAUUUCAGAGUGUGAAGAAUCACAACUCUCCCCACAUAGAACCAGGAAAACCUGCUGUUCUAAACAUCCUUGGUAAAGCCAAUGUGAAGACGCUGAGUUGAAACACAUCUGCAAGGUGAGAACAGAAACCACAGAGCUUGGCUGGGCAGCUCUACCUCCACCUGGAGCUGGGAGGUUUACAAGGAACCCAAAUUUACAGCCGUCCUUCAUACAGGCUGAUGGAAAUCACACCAAUAAGGCAAACACGGGAAAAGGACU
Molecule: long non-coding RNA, 1940 nt
Organism: Peromyscus californicus insignis
Lineage: Eukaryota; Metazoa; Chordata; Mammalia; Rodentia; Cricetidae
Exons: 6
Source: RefSeq, a predicted model, not a curated record